RNAcentral lists this non-coding RNA (256 nucleotides) under Leucoagaricus sp. SymC.cos. Its description in RNAcentral is "Eukaryotic large subunit ribosomal RNA". It matches the Rfam family "Eukaryotic large subunit ribosomal RNA", at positions 1214 to 1468 of the family's 3401-position model. Lineage: Eukaryota; Fungi; Basidiomycota; Agaricomycetes; Agaricales; Agaricaceae. The record is from Rfam by way of RNAcentral.
ACAAAAGGUGUUAGUUCAUCUAGACAGCAGGACGGUGGCCAUGGAAGUCGGAAUCCGCUAAGGAGUGUGUAACAACUCACCUGCCGAAUGAACUAGCCCUGAAAAUGGAUGGCGCUUAAGCGUGAUACCCAUACCUCGCCGUCAGCGUUGAAGUGACGCGCUGACGAGUAGGCAGGCGUGGAGGUCAGUGAAGAAGCCUUGGCAGUGAUGCUGGGUGAAACGGCCUCUAGUGCAGAUCUUGGUGGUAGUAGCAAAU